CACGCUGUAAACGAUGAGUGCUAGAUGUUGGUGAAGGAAUUCAUCAGUGUCGCAGCUAACGCACUAAGCACUCCGCCUGGGGAGUNGCGAAAAACCUUACCAGCUCUUGACAUGGUGAUUAUGGAGACCAGAGAUGGUUUCCUUCGGUUCGGCCGGAUCACACACAGGUGC
RNAcentral lists this ribosomal RNA (171 nucleotides) under uncultured bacterium. Its description in RNAcentral is "partial 16S ribosomal RNA". The stretch from base 1 to 77 matches the Rfam family "Bacterial small subunit ribosomal RNA", at positions 796 to 873 of the family's 1533-position model. The record is from RNAcentral.